GGUGGCUCAGUGGUAGAGCAUUUGCCUUGCAUGCGUAAGGCCCUGAGUUUGAUUCCUCAGCACCA
This 65-nucleotide transfer RNA is filed under the name Dipodomys ordii (Ord's kangaroo rat). It matches the Rfam family "tRNA". Rfam says of the family: Transfer RNA (tRNA) molecules are approximately 80 nucleotides in length. Their secondary structure includes four short double-helical elements and three loops (D, anti-codon, and T loops). The record is from Rfam by way of RNAcentral. Lineage: Eukaryota; Metazoa; Chordata; Mammalia; Rodentia; Heteromyidae.